Molecule: ribosomal RNA, 305 nt
Filed under: uncultured bacterium
Lineage: Bacteria
Description: partial 16S ribosomal RNA
Rfam family: Bacterial small subunit ribosomal RNA
Source: RNAcentral
ACAGCAGUAGCCGCGGGAAUACGUAGGUCCCGAGCGUUGUCCGGAAUUAUUGGGCGUAAAGCGCGCGCAGGUGGUUUAAUAAGUCUGAUGUGAAAGCCCACGGCUCAACCGUGGAGGGUCAUUGGAAACUGUUAAACUUGAGUGCAGGAGAGAAAAGUGGAAUUCCUAGUGUAGCGGUGAAAUGCGUAGAGAUUAGGAGGAACACCAGUGGCGAAGGCGGCUUUUUGGCCUGUAACUGACACUGAGGCGCGAAGGCGUGGGGAGCAAACAGGAUUAGAUACCCGUGUAGUCCCUGUCUCUUAUAC